Molecule: ribosomal RNA, 519 nt
Filed under: uncultured eukaryote
Lineage: Eukaryota
Description: bacterial SSU rRNA
Rfam family: Eukaryotic small subunit ribosomal RNA
Source: RNAcentral
AGGGCACCACCAGGAGUGGAGCCUGCGGCUUAAUUUGACUCAACACGGGAAAACUCACCCGGCCCGGACACUGGAAGGAUUGACAGAUUGAGAGCUCUUUCUUGAUUCGGUGGGUGGUGGUGCAUGGCCGUUCUUAGUUGGUGGAGCGAUUUGUCUGGUUAAUUCCGAUAACGAACGAGACUCUAGCCUACUAAAUAGAUCGUUGGCUUACAGACCCUUAUGAGACUUCUUAGAGGGACAAGCGGCGAUUCAUCCGCCACAAACAGAGCAAUAACAGGUCUGUGAUGCCGUUAUAUGACGGGGGACGCUGCCGCGCUACACUGAAGUGAUCAUCGUGAUGUCUCUUCCUACUCUGCCAAAAGUGGGAAACCCUGUGAAUCUUCUUCUGGAUGGGAAUAGAACAUGGUAAUUAUUCUCCUUGAACAAGAAAUUCCCAGUAAGCCCGAGUCAUAAGCUCGCGUUGAUUACGUCCCUGCCCUUUGUACACACCGCCCGUCGCUACUACCGAUUGAAUGUUUU